GGAAAAAUUGUCAUUGGCAGGACUAAAUAUCUACUAAAUAUUAUGCAAUUCGCAUUUAGGUGUUCGAUUCACCUUUUUUCCG
Molecule: transfer RNA, 82 nt
Filed under: Metarhizium album
Lineage: Eukaryota; Fungi; Ascomycota; Sordariomycetes; Hypocreales; Clavicipitaceae
Description: tRNA-Ser
Source: RNAcentral